CCCUCAGGCGGCCUGUUCCACGCCAGGAUUAGUUUUGCUUCGCAGAUGGGCCGUGGUGGUGAGAGGAAGCAAUCAGUAUGGAAAUGGAGAAAUGGCUUACCAUGCAUGUCCUUCUCCCCAGGAGGGAGGUCGUGGUGCAGGCGAGCAGACGCCAGACUCCUGGACACUUGCCGCCUGCGUUAUGGAGGCUUAGCUAAUAACCUUGCAGGGGUCUUCAGGCUUUUCCACUGGCUCACCUUUAGGCUUCUGACACUUUUACCUACGAUAAUGCAGUAGUUACUUUUUGAAGGACGACCGAAGCAGGAUAUUUCCCUGACCCCUUCAUGGGACCCACGUCAGAGGUGUUUACUCAGCCUGCUGCCCACAACUCCUCACAGGAGGGAGCGCACAAGUGAACGAGGGUGAGGACUGGAGAGCACCAGCACUGGAACAACCCGGCCACUUCGGCGCUACUGGGAUCAAACUCCAUCACUUGGACACACUGUGUUCCACCCCUCGUGGGAGGGAGCAUGCAGGUGAGAGGAUGCAGGAGUCAGGGUGAGCACUUUUGGGCUCCAGCAGGAGCAAACUCUGUGCAGGGCCCUGCAGCAGUGACUGAGGGGC
RNAcentral lists this long non-coding RNA (603 nucleotides) under Homo sapiens (human). RNAcentral's name for it is "HSALNT0326539". The record is from RNAcentral. Lineage: Eukaryota; Metazoa; Chordata; Mammalia; Primates; Hominidae.